GAUGAACGCUGGCGGCGUGCCUAAUACAUGCAAGUCGAGCGAACGGACGAGAAGCUUGCUUCUCUGAUGUUAGCGGCGGACGGGUGAGUAACGCGUGGAUAACCUACCUAUAAGACUGGGAUAACUUCGGGAAACCGGAGCUAAUACCGGAUAAUAUUUUGAACCGCAUGGUUGAAAAGUGAAAGACGGUCUUGCUGUCACUUAUAGAUGGAUCCGCGCUGCAUUAGCUAGUUGGUAAGGUAACGGCUUACCAAGGCAACGAUGCAUAGCCGACCUGAGAGGGUGGUCGCCCACCCUGGAACUGAGACACGGUCCAGACUCCUACGGGAGGCACCAGUAGGGAAUCUUCCGCAGUGGUCGAAAGCCUGACGGAGCAACGCCGCGUGAGUGAUGAAGGUCUUCGGAUCGUAAAACUCUGUUAUUAGGGAAGAACAUAUUUGUAAGUAACUGUGCACAUCUUGACGGUACCUAAUCAGAAAGCCACGGCUAACUACGUG
RNAcentral lists this ribosomal RNA (497 nucleotides) under uncultured bacterium. RNAcentral describes it as "partial 16S ribosomal RNA". It matches the Rfam family "Bacterial small subunit ribosomal RNA", at positions 28 to 507 of the family's 1533-position model. The record is from RNAcentral.